RNAcentral lists this ribosomal RNA (253 nucleotides) under uncultured bacterium. Its description in RNAcentral is "partial 16S ribosomal RNA". It matches the Rfam family "Bacterial small subunit ribosomal RNA", at positions 524 to 776 of the family's 1533-position model. The record is from RNAcentral.
UACAGAGGGUGCGAGCGUUAAUCGGAAUUACUGGGCGUAAAGGGUGCGUAGGUGGUUAAUUAAGUUAGAUGUGAAAUCCCUGAGCUUAACUUAGGAAUUGCAUUUAAUACUGAUUGGCUAGAGUACAGAAGAGGGAAGUGGAAUUUCCGGUGUAGCGGUGAAAUGCGUAGAUAUCGGAAGGAACAUCAGUGGCGAAGGCGACUUCCUGGUCUGUUACUGACACUGAGGCACGAAAGCGUGGGGAGCGAACAGG